Long non-coding RNA from Meriones unguiculatus (Mongolian gerbil), 1778 nucleotides. RefSeq lists it as uncharacterized. Lineage: Eukaryota; Metazoa; Chordata; Mammalia; Rodentia; Muridae. The transcript has 3 exons. The record is from RefSeq and is a predicted model, not a curated record.
AUGAAUUUACACACUGGUUUGUAAAAAUUGAGGUAGGAAAGGCAGCAAGGAUGUUGCCAAGGGGAAGGAGAAAGGCUUUUUACUGUGUACUUCAUUUUAGGAGUGUUAGAGGUAGGUGACUGCAGUGCCGGAGGGCAUGGAUGAAACUCUGGAGGGAAGAGGCAUGCUAGGUCACGCCCCAAGCAUCUGCAGGAAAGCGCUUCUCCAGUGAAGAGCUGACAGGAUGUGAGUCAUCAAAUGUUCCAGAGUGCGAAGACCGCACGCACAAUCCAGAAAACAACCUGACCUGUAUGAGCCGUAGAGAUAACUGCAUCGAUUCCACUCCAUCCCCACAAAAAUUGCCACAAGAACACCGGAUCAGAAAACAAACCAUUCUCCAACACCUAAAAAGCAGACGUUUUUCACCCUGAGACAAUGGGUCUACUACUGAAGCAAUUGUGCAGGGUUUGUAAAAAUAACUGACUGGCUUAGCUGAGAGCCAAAACUAACAGAUGUCCACUGCAAAACAAACUGGGCCUAGCCUGCCUCCCUAUAAAUAACGUGAUUUGUGAGCACAUCGGUGGUUUUUCAGUUCAAGAGCCCCACAGUGCUUUUUUCACAUACUCCCUAGUUUAAAAGCUUUCCAGUAGAAUCCACCGAGGGAGACACAGUAUUGUCUUCAAUAAUGUUACAACUGAGGUCUCUCAAAAGCCCUGACCCUUUAGGUCCCUGUCCUCUCUAAUGUGUGAAGACCCUGCUGGCUCCUGAGAACAUCCAGGACUGGCCAGUCACCUUGUACACACCUCCCUUCUGCCUGAGCACUGCGGUCAUCUCUUUCCAUCUCUGUUCAAGGAGCAGAGCGCGGGUUCCCUUUUUCACCGUGAGCCUGGAAUCCUGCUUGGGUAUUGGCAUCACUGAAAGGCUUACAUCGCAAGGUUGGGGGUCCCACAGCCGAGUAAUGCUUCUCCUCCAGUCUCUUCUAGUCCUUGGCUGAAGAAUUCUCUUCAAGUAUCAGAAGUUAAGGACAAGACUGGCAAGAAAUCCCUCUCCUGCUUAAACUUCUCAGACAUUUUGACUCAUCUUCCCAUUCCUCAAGAGCAUACACCUUUUUUUUUUUUUCAAAAGUGAAAACCAAAAUGAAAAUCAAGAUUAGUCCCAUACUCCAUCACACUCCUAAAGGAAAUAGCCAUAUGAAACCAAUGGUCGAAAACAUCUCACAUCACUUUCCUGUCUCAUUAAAUUCUGACAUUGUGUCUGGAGACACUGAGCACUAUGCAGGAGACUUUUAUUUUUCACAGUUGACUACAAUGUUGCCACCAUACAGUCAAAGAAAUGUACUCUCAGGGAGAUAGCAAAGUGGUCCACUGCCAUGGGUUAGGCCCAGGAUUACUAGCUCUUGAAUCUGUUUGAUUGUUUGCUUGCUUGAAUGCUCUCAGUUUCAAUGUGAAAGAAAUCAGAUGCCCUUCUGAGCACCCACAUCAGGUGAUCGACAGCUGAUUUAGCCAGUGGGGGACACAAAUGGGACGAUUUAAGGCAGGACUGAAGAAAAACCCAGAGUACCUCUCCUUCCAUUUAUUUUUAAAAUCAUAAGUAACCGUGUGAUUUAUUCUUGGGAAAAAUAAACUAAGUAUUGUACAGUAGACGGAGAAAUGAACAGGAAAUCUUAGCCCGGUUUCAUGUCAGCUACCAUAGUUGGCAACAUGUAUUCCAUACUGUGAAUAAUUAACAGCUGUGAUUUUCAAACCCAUGCCACCUGCCAGUGCUGUAAAUCCAUAAAUGUCUAAACAAAUCUCUAUAAA